This is a non-coding RNA of Paramisgurnus dabryanus, 759 nucleotides long. The record is from RefSeq and is a predicted model, not a curated record. Lineage: Eukaryota; Metazoa; Chordata; Actinopteri; Cypriniformes; Cobitidae.
UAUGGCAGCUAGAAGUAUUGAAAAGACGUAUAAUAGAUUUAACAAUGUUUUAUCUUCUUUAUUAGUGUAUGUAAAUCUGGGCUACAGUCCACGACAAAUUUUCUACUGUAGUUUUACGCCUUCAUGCUCGUCAUCUCGUCUAUCGCGGGGAGAUCAUCACUACAGCGGGAAUCGCAUUGAAGAGAUCCUGUGCUUGUUGCGUGGCGGUGUGUUUGUGUGCUCACUUGGAUUGAGACCAGCAGUGCUUUUUUAAACAAUUCUUUAUGACAUCAAGAUGUGGUUUGGGAAGGACCUUCAUCUAAAUCUGAAGACAGGACAUACUGGCUCAAAAAGGUGUUUCUGAUAUGGAGAAAAACCCUGCACUGCUCAUUUUAUUUCUUCAUCUUGAGAAUACAGCAAGUUUACCUUUUGUCUGGAAAAUGAUUCAGCAAAGCUAACACCAACAACAAUUUUUCAUGGCACUUUAAACCACCUUGAUGUGAGGAGCCAGCAUCAGAAUGGAUGGUGUCAAUAUCCUGAAUGAAGAAGUGGAGGUAACAGAGGUACUGUAUCUCUUUUUUAUCUCCUUCAGUGUAGCAUGUCCAAACCCAUCAUUGCACACUAAACGUUAAACAUUUUUGGUGACUACAAAAGACAGUCUAUAACACUUCUAAAAUUGUACAAACAACGUAUUUCUAUAAAUUGUUUUGCCAUAACAAACCUUACUUAGUGGUAAUUGGUUCGUAUAUAGUUUUGUGUAAAUUUGUUCAUUUAACGUCU